CUUCUUACAGAUACUGAGGGAUGCUCAUUAACAUUUAAGUGAACUCACCUGCGAAGUGCAGAGGCGUGUACACGUCAACACGCUUCACGUGGAACGUCGUGCCGUCUCGUCUAUUGUCUGUUACGACAGGAUGUGCCGCCCAUUACCUUCCUCUCCGAAUGCCCGGCUGCACUUAACACAGCAGAAACACUCUGGGUGCCAAUUCUUAUCCAGAGCGGUGACCAUUUUCUAAACGACAAGCGGAAUGAGAAGUUAAAUGGCUUCAGUCUUUAUAGGCUUAUUACGAUAACUCACCUGUCCUACCACUGGCUUUUGACAAGCUGAACAGUUUCCCUUGGAGGAUGUCUGAACUCCUUGUCGGCUCAGGUCAGACUGAAGCAGCCCGAGCAUGCUGUCCAAUGAGCCCCCAGAUGAGGGCUGCGCUGGGGCGGCGGGCUGCUGUGGUGUUGGCACCACCGGACUGACAGGUGCAGCUGGCUUUGAGAAGAGAAAAAAAUAAAAAUAAAAAUGAUAUCUCAUCUGUUAUUGGUAUUUUAAUUCUCCAUGAGUUAAACUUCAGUCUGCAGUUAUUCUGAAAUUAAUUGCUAUAAAAAACAGUGACUGUAAGGCUUUUGACAAACAGAUAGGAGGAUGUGUGGACCAAGGGUGCAGGUUUGGUUGUUUGUAAUGCAACUGAAAUACAGGUUUCACUUCACUUCACUUCACUGUGAAGGAAAUGGCCCUGGUCAUACACACACCACAACAUUUGGAAACUAGUAGGCUGGGUCACUAUGUGGCCUUUCAUGCCUGUU
This is a long non-coding RNA of Scatophagus argus, 791 nucleotides long. RefSeq lists it as uncharacterized. The record is from RefSeq and is a predicted model, not a curated record. Lineage: Eukaryota; Metazoa; Chordata; Actinopteri; Scatophagidae. The transcript has 3 exons.